CAGCCCCGGCCCCAGGGACCAGCGCGCACGCCAGGGCCGCGCGCCGGCGGGUCACCCCGCGGCUGCUGACAAUUGAAUAAACAAGCCGAAGCCCUGCGAUCUGUCAGUGGCCGAGGCCGCCA
Unclassified non-coding RNA from Meriones unguiculatus (Mongolian gerbil), 122 nucleotides. The record is from Ensembl. NCBI's taxonomy places the organism in Eukaryota, Metazoa, Chordata, Mammalia, Rodentia, Muridae.